This 253-nucleotide ribosomal RNA is filed under the name uncultured bacterium. Its description in RNAcentral is "partial 16S ribosomal RNA". It matches the Rfam family "Bacterial small subunit ribosomal RNA", at positions 524 to 776 of the family's 1533-position model. The record is from RNAcentral.
UACGGAGGGUGCAAGCGUUAAUCGGAAUUACUGGGCGUAAAGCGUGCGCAGGCGGUUAUGUAAGACAGAUGGGAAAUGCCCGGGCUUAACCUGGGAACUGCAUUUGUGACUGCAUGGCUAGAGUUUGGCAGAGGGGGGUAGAAUUCCACGUGUAGCAGUGAAAUGCGCAGAUAUGUGGAGGAACACCGAUGGCGAAGGCAGCCCCCUGGGUCAAGACUGACGCUCAUGCACGAAAGCGUGGGGAGCAAACAGG